Molecule: transfer-messenger RNA, 353 nt
Filed under: Clostridia bacterium
Lineage: Bacteria; Bacillati; Bacillota; Clostridia
Rfam family: transfer-messenger RNA
About the family: Bacterial tmRNA, also known as 10Sa RNA or SsrA, is named for its dual tRNA and mRNA-like properties. Its role is to liberate the mRNA from a stalled ribosome.
Source: RNAcentral
GGGGACGAUUCAGUUUCGAUUGGGCGAGUUGGGUAGAAUAUAAGCAUACCGAAGGUUCGACUUCGUUAAAACGAAAACUUAAAUUUAAAUGCUAACAAUCAACAAGUAGCAUUCGCCGCUUAAUUUAGGCGAACGUCCUACCUUUCUUCGCCCGUUGGGAAAGGAUAGGGCGUCAGUUAGACGGGGAACUGUUUUAUAGAUGUGGACGUGUUUAUAAAGUGGAAUUUAACGUUUAUGGAAUAGAUAAAGGUUGCCGAUAGCCGUGUUUAUUUCGAGAAUAAUUAUUGGAUAAGUAUGUAGAAGGUUUUAUUUUACCGUUCAAGACUGGGGUGCAAAUCCCCACGUCUCCACCA